Molecule: long non-coding RNA, 1098 nt
Filed under: Marmota monax (woodchuck)
Lineage: Eukaryota; Metazoa; Chordata; Mammalia; Rodentia; Sciuridae
Source: RNAcentral
CUAGCAGGUACAAGGCUCUGGGUUUUAUCUCCAGCACUAGCAAAAAAACAAACACACACAAACAGGAGCCCUCCUGGAUCUCCCAUUUCCUCUUUAUGUGCUCUUCCCCUCUUACCCCGUGUCAAGCUACAUGCUAGGCAAGCACCAGUACUAUUGAGCUAUACCACUGAGCCCCUGAUCUACCUAACUUCUUGACAGCCUCCUUCUAACUGGAUUUCACAGAGGCUAGCUUUCUUUUCCCAAGACUUUGGUUUAACUUACUUCUGGAGCUGAUGGGGGGAAGAAACACUAGGAGAUAUGGGAAUUGUCUGCAGAAGAGGGUGGAAAUUGUGGAAAAUUCUCAAAUUUUGGCAAAAAGGGCUCAGUGAGGGCUGGGGUUGUGGCUCAGUGGUAGAGUGCUUGACUAGCAUGUGUGAGGCACUGGGUUCAAUUCUCAGCACCACAAAUAAACGAAUAAAGUAAAGGUCCACUGACAAUUUAAAAAUUAUUUUUAAAAAGGGGGCUCAGUGAAAGAUUUGAUAGGACUGAUGAGUGAACAUUGCGGAGAACAUGAAAAUUGUGGUAAUAAGAUUUUAUUGUACUUCAGUAGCAAAAGCAAUUACCUUCAGUUUUGAAGGGUCACUUUCCUUUUAUUGUCUAACUAUAAUCCUCAUUGGUGGCAGGAAUUUUUUUUCUCUAGAUUUUCAUUUACAGAUUUGUGCAAAAGCAAAGUUCUUGCUUUUAUCCUGGUUUUGUUUUCUUUUUCUAAGUUGAAGAAUUCAUCCAUAACUAGCUGGGUGUGGUGGCACAUGCCAGUAAGCCCAGGGAUUCGGGAAGCAGAGGCAGGGAGAUUGAAAGUUGGAGGCCAAUUUAGGGAGACCCUGUCUCAAAAUAAAAAAUAAAAAGGGCUGAGAAUGUAGCUCAGUGGUAGUGACAAGUACCAGAGUACAAAGUAACAUCUUAGUUACAUUUUUCUUCCCCACCACAUGUUUCCAUACCUACUUUGAAAAACCUAAUAGAUUUGUUUAUCAAAACACUGAUGAUUCCAAGCUAGGAUUAUUGGGGAGGAAAAUAAAGAAAAAGUAAAAGUUAAUAUAGGGGAUAUUUUUAAGAUUUCAC